Molecule: ribosomal RNA, 490 nt
Filed under: uncultured bacterium
Lineage: Bacteria
Description: partial 16S ribosomal RNA
Rfam family: Bacterial small subunit ribosomal RNA
Source: RNAcentral
AUUGAACGCUGGCGGCAGGCCUAACACAUGCAAGUCGAACGGUAACAGGAAGACGCUUGCUUCUUUGCUGACGAGUGGCGGACGGGUGUGUAAUGUCUGGGAAACUGCCUGAUGGCGGGGGAUAACUACUGGAAACGGUAGCUAAUACCGCAUAACGUCUCAAGACCAAAGAGGGGGACCUUCGGGCCUCUUGCCAUCGGAUGUGCCCAGAUGGGAUUAUCUAGUAGGUGGGGUAACGGCUCACCUAGGCGACGAUCCCUAGCUGGUCUGAGAGGAUGACCAGCCACACUGGAACUGAGACACGGUCCAGACUCCUACGGGAGGCAGCAGUGGGGAAUAUUGCACAAUGGGCGCAAGCCUGAUGCAGCCAUGCCGCGUGUAUGAAGAAGGCCUUCGGGUUGUAAAGUACUUUCAGCGGGGAGGAAGGGAGUAAAGUUAAUACCUUUGCUCAUUGACGUUACCCGCAGAAGAAGCACCGGCUAACUCCGUG